Molecule: ribosomal RNA, 253 nt
Filed under: uncultured bacterium
Lineage: Bacteria
Description: partial 16S ribosomal RNA
Rfam family: Bacterial small subunit ribosomal RNA
Source: RNAcentral
UACGGAGGGGGCUAGCGUUGUUCGGAAUUACUGGGCGUAAAGCGCGCGUAGGCGGCUUUGUAAGUUAGAGGUGAAAGCCCGGAGCUCAACUCCGGAAUUGCCUUUAAGACUGCAUCGCUAGAAUCAUGGAGAGGUUAGUGGAAUUCCGAGUGUAGAGGUGAAAUUCGUAGAUAUUCGGAGGAACACCGAUGGCGAAGGCAGCCCCCUGGGCCAAUACUGACGCUCAGGCACGAAAGCGUGGGGAGCAAACAGG